Molecule: ribosomal RNA, 658 nt
Filed under: Staphylococcus aureus subsp. aureus CIGC93
Lineage: Bacteria; Bacillati; Bacillota; Bacilli; Caryophanales; Staphylococcaceae
Description: bacterial LSU rRNA
Rfam family: Bacterial large subunit ribosomal RNA
Source: RNAcentral
UUAAGUUAUUAAGGGCGCACGGUGGAUGCCUUGGCACUAGAAGCCGAUGAAGGACGUUACUAACGACGAUAUGCUUUGGGGAGCUGUAAGUAAGCUUUGAUCCAGAGAUUUCCGAAUGGGGAAACCCAGCAUGAGUUAUGUCAUGUUAUCGAUAUGUGAAUACAUAGCAUAUCAGAAGGCACACCCGGAGAACUGAAACAUCUUAGUACCCGGAGGAAGAGAAAGAAAAUUCGAUUCCCUUAGUAGCGGCGAGCGAAACGGGAAGAGCCCAAACCAACAAGCUUGCUUGUUGGGGUUGUAGGACACUCUAUACGGAGUUACAAAGGACGACAUUAGACGAAUCAUCUGGAAAGAUGAAUCAAAGAAGGUAAUAAUCCUGUAGUCGAAAAUGUUGUCUCUCUUGAGUGGAUCCUGAGUACGACGGAGCACGUGAAAUUCCGUCGGAAUCUGGGAGGACCAUCUCCUAAGGCUAAAUACUCUCUAGUGACCGAUAGUGAACCAGUACCGUGGGGAAAGGUGAAAAGCACCCCGAAGGGGAGUGAAAUAGAACCUGAAACCGUGUGCUUACAAGUAGUCAGAGCCCGUUAAUGGGUGAUGGCGUGCCUUUUGUAGAAUGAACCGGCGAGUUACGAUUUGAUGCAAGGUUAAGCAGUAAAUG